UACGUAGGUGGCAAGCGUUGUCCGGAUUUACUGGGCGUAAAGAGCGCGCAGGCAGUCGUUCAAGUCGCGUGUGAAAGCCCCCGGCUCAACUGGGGAGGGUCACGCGAUACUGAUCGACUCGAAGGCAGGAGAGGGUAGUGGAAUUCCCGGUGUAGUGGUGAAAUGCGUAGAUAUCGGGAGGAACACCAGUGGCGAAGGCGACUACCUGGCCUGUUCUUGACGCUGAGGCGCGAAAGCUAGGGGAGCAAACGGG
RNAcentral lists this ribosomal RNA (253 nucleotides) under uncultured bacterium. RNAcentral's name for it is "partial 16S ribosomal RNA". It matches the Rfam family "Bacterial small subunit ribosomal RNA", at positions 524 to 776 of the family's 1533-position model. The record is from RNAcentral.